This 59-nucleotide transfer RNA is filed under the name Sicista betulina (Northern birch mouse). RNAcentral describes it as "tRNA-Ser". Lineage: Eukaryota; Metazoa; Chordata; Mammalia; Rodentia; Dipodidae. RNAcentral also lists the same sequence under 1 other name. The record is from RNAcentral.
GAGAAAGUUAGCGAGAACUGCUAACUCACGCAACCGUGAUUAAAUCACACGGCUUUCUC